AUACGGAGGGAGCGAGCGUUAAUCGGAAUUACUGGGCGUAAAGCGCGCGUAGGCGGCUUUGUAAGUCGGAUGUGAAAGCCCUGGGCUCAACCUGGGUAUGGCAUUCGAUACUGCAGAGCUAGAGUAUGGUAGAGGGAAGUGGAAUUUCCGGUGUAGCGGUGAAAUGCGUAGAUAUCGGAAGGAACACCAGUGGCGAAGGCGACUUCCUGGGCCAAUACUGACGCUGAGGUGCGAAAGCGUGGGGAGCAAACAGGAUUAGAAACCCCGGUAGUCC
This 274-nucleotide ribosomal RNA is filed under the name uncultured bacterium. RNAcentral's name for it is "partial 16S ribosomal RNA". It matches the Rfam family "Bacterial small subunit ribosomal RNA", at positions 523 to 796 of the family's 1533-position model. The record is from RNAcentral.